This 677-nucleotide long non-coding RNA is filed under the name Homo sapiens (human). RNAcentral's name for it is "HSALNT0144666". The record is from RNAcentral. Lineage: Eukaryota; Metazoa; Chordata; Mammalia; Primates; Hominidae.
GUUCCCAGUUCUUGCGGUAGUGAAUAAGUAUCAUGAGAUCUGACGGUUUUUAUAAGGGGUUUUGCCUUUCACUUGGCUCUCAUUCUCUCUUGUCUAUCCUCAUGUAAGACAUGCCUUUCACCUUACUGUGAGUCCAUUAAACCUCUUUUUCUUUAUAAAUUACCCAGCCUUGGGUAUGUCUCUAUCAGCAGCAUAAAAACAGACUAAUUCACUGGCAAACUUGGUGCCAAUUUAGUGCUAACUAUAUGAGUACACACACACACGCACACACACACACAGAAUUUAAACCGAGGUCUUAAGUUAUCUAAAGCAUAAACCUUUAUUCUGUAUUGUAUUUCAUUAUUUUCACUGCUAUUUUAGGUAUAUAUAUUCAAGUGGAGGAAAUAGAACACACAUGCGAGAGAAUCACUUUCUGAGAGAGCUGAAGACUAUUUGAUGGACCACCAUAAAUUUCAUCAAAGGAAACAGAGCAGAGAAUUGACCAAUAACAAACAGCUGGAAAUGAAAGAACUGUGGGCAAGGUAAUGACGAAGUAAUUACCCUGGGUUUAACUCAAGGUCUAAACUUUUCUAGUUUAUCUUAAUGAAACACUAUGCUCUGCCUACGUAAAUCAUAUAUUUCUAUUAUAUGAUUAGUAAUAAAAUGACUAUUUAUAUAGCUGAAAAAAAUGUCUGGCA